Molecule: long non-coding RNA, 1082 nt
Filed under: Cairina moschata (Muscovy duck)
Lineage: Eukaryota; Metazoa; Chordata; Aves; Anseriformes; Anatidae
Description: domestica (muscovy Duck (domestic type)) lncRNA (ENSCMMG00000012548.1)
Source: RNAcentral
GUCACUACUUGCAAGGAAGUCAGUAUUUUAGAAUAGUCUUUUUCUGUACAUAAUGCCACUGUAUGUCAUUAUUCGAAACGUAUUAUAAAAUAUAUUCUGAGAAACACCAAAAAAAAAAAAAACACCACUUUUUCAAAAAAGAAAAUAUGAAAAAAACUAUUUGCUAACAGUGAACACAGAACAUGAAUCAGAGCUGUUUCAUUCUCAAAAUCAUUUCCUCCAAACUCAUAAAAUCUAUUCUGAUAUGCCAAAAAUGGCAAGCAAGAAAAGACAGAAGGCUUGCACAGAUGAAAAAGGAGCUGCUUCUGACAAUCAUAAACACGAAUAGAAAGCAUACAAAAAGUAAAAGCGGGGUCAGGCCACCAGGAGGAACAUGAAAAUAUAGUGCUAGGUGUAUUGGGUUUACAUGGCAAGGGUUUUUGGUAGCAGGGGAGCUACAGAGGUGGCCUCUGUAAGCAGAGUCCAGCAGCCCCAUGUCAAAUCAGAGACAGCUCCACCCAGCUCCAAAAGGGACCCACUGCUGGCCGGUGAGAGAAGUUGGUUAGGCCUCCAGGAUAGCAGAUUUAAGAAAGGGAAAAAAACUGCGCAACAGGAACUGGGAAAGAGGAGUGAGAAACGUUCCUGCAGACACCAAGGCUGCUUUUCUCCAGGGAGGCACACACUGGAGCAAUAUAACCUUCUCUGGAUGUGAGCAGAGAUUGCGCUUUUCCUCCACUGACACUUUCUGACAGGAGGCAAGGAGACAUACAAAGAGUGAAAGGCAGCUUUAAGGUGAGGUUAAAUGUUAGAGCUGAUGUAAUCUAAGAGUUUACUACAGCAAAAAAGAGGAAAUUCUUCCUUCCAUCCCAUUCCUCCAGCAGCGUCAAUCACCCUGGUCCUUUUCUGAUGUGAUUCAGGUGUCAGAUUCAUCAGAACCUUAGCUGACAUGAUUAAGUUUCUAGACUAUUGGAAAACUAUAUAUAUAUAUAUAUAUAUAUAAUAUAUAGAUAAGUAUAUAUUUUUAUAUAUUUAUAUAUAAAUAUAUGAAUAAUAUAUCACAGAAUCACAGGGAAUCACAGAAUUUCUAGGUUGGAAGAGACCUC